UUUCCUGUGUAAGUGUGAAGGAAAUACAAUUUGUGAGAAAUCAGUCUUCAGUAUGCUCAUUGUGUGUGUCUUUGAUACACAGAACUUUGUUCACCACAUUAGUACUAUAUAAAACAAUAAAACAGUGAACAUACUUGCUGCCGAUCCGUCAGUGAUUUUUGUUUGCUUAGAUUCUUUACAGGAGGAACAGCCACCUGCUCCUGCAUGUCGAGCAUAAGUUCCCAUAUUAAUAAGAUAUCUGACUCAGAUUAUGCAAUAUCUUAUAAUAUGUUUGCCAGGUAAAACUUAUAGCACAUACAUUGGCUAUUUUAACUUCUUCAAGCUGGUGUCUGUUAUCAAUUUCCUUGUGAACGAGGUUCUGACAGAAAAUUCAGUGCAAUUCUUUUAGUUAUCAAAUGGAGUGACUAUGGCCUGAACAGCAAGCACAGAAUUACUGCGGAGCAACUGGAUCUCUGACUCCAAAAUGGCAAUCUUGCUUUCCAGUCUAAACAGACAAUUUCUUUUACUUGUGAGCCUUUAUCAUAGGAUAUGAACACAGUCCAGAAAGAAAAGAAAAAAUGCGAAUGCGAGUGUCUCCUGUGACAAUUCAUCAGAUCGUUUUUGCAACUCAAGAAGCUUCUCUUCAAGAUCUUCAGCCUUCUGUUUAAAUGUACUUACUUCAUCCUGGAUCCAAACGUGGAUUAUCCACAACUGGCACUUCUACUAUCUUUGGUGGUGCCUGUUCAAUUGCUAACUUCGCGGCUUCUUUCUCCUUCAAUAUUGCUGCAUGGGCUUCCUCAAUCUUUUCUUGCAUUUCUUGCAAUGCAGAUUGCAACUUUCCAAUUUCUUGGCCCUUGGCUUCUUCAAGGUCAGUCUACCAGCAAGACAAAGUUAAUAAACUCAUUUGGGACCAAGUAACAUACUAAAGCACUACAGAAACUGCCAUAUUGAUCCAGGUGAAUUACCCUCAAACGCUUCUCAACAUCUAACCGCCAUCGCGAACCUGGAUAAUUAUGGAAGCCUUGGUCUCUCUUCGGAACCUGUGUUCAUUGCGAGCUGCCAUUGCUCGUAAUCCUGUCUGUAUUACUAUAGCUGAUUCAUAUACUUGAAGUUUCAGGUACGACCAGUUUUACUGACCUUAAAGACACAAAGUGCUCCGAGCAGUGAAGAAAUACCUCUCCAGAACUUCUGAGAUUUAAUUGAGGCUUUUCGUAAGUUGACGAAUUCCUUUCGCAUAAGAUGUGUCUUUAUACGCCUCUGGAUUAGUCGCGCAGCAUUUGCCAAUACUUCUGCUCUUCGAGCAUCCAGCUCUGCCAUCUGACCAGCUCUUAAGAAUACCUUUGUUUUCCCUAUCUGAUAUAAACAAAGGUCACAUGUGAGAUUAGGUCUUGCGAAAAAAGUUUAUGCUGUAUAAGAUUGUUUUAUCUCCUGUAUUCACCCAUUGACAUAGGCUA
Long non-coding RNA from Setaria italica (foxtail millet), 1433 nucleotides. RefSeq lists it as uncharacterized. The transcript is spliced from 6 exons. Lineage: Eukaryota; Viridiplantae; Streptophyta; Magnoliopsida; Poales; Poaceae. The record is from RefSeq and is a predicted model, not a curated record.